UGGAGUACAGUUCAGUGGUAGAACACUUGCCUAGCAAGUGGAAGAAGGCCUAGGUUCCAUCCCUAGCACUGCAU
This 74-nucleotide transfer RNA is filed under the name Dipodomys ordii (Ord's kangaroo rat). It matches the Rfam family "tRNA". Rfam says of the family: Transfer RNA (tRNA) molecules are approximately 80 nucleotides in length. Their secondary structure includes four short double-helical elements and three loops (D, anti-codon, and T loops). Lineage: Eukaryota; Metazoa; Chordata; Mammalia; Rodentia; Heteromyidae. The record is from Rfam by way of RNAcentral.